Molecule: long non-coding RNA, 2502 nt
Organism: Lepisosteus oculatus (spotted gar)
Lineage: Eukaryota; Metazoa; Chordata; Actinopteri; Semionotiformes; Lepisosteidae
Source: RefSeq, a predicted model, not a curated record
ACAGGGAGAACAUACAGACUCCACACAGACAGCACCCCAGGGACUACUGCGCCACCCUGCUGACCUAUCAUAUUUCCCUUCACGGUCAAUUCACACUGUCUGCCGUAUGUGCGCUCCUCACACAGAGCACAGAGCCAGGAAUCCGGGCUCUGUGCUCGUACAUCGGCAUCCUUGCCCUGUACGUGUGCCGUGGCACGCUGCCAUGAGCCCCUGCUGACGGGGCCGGGCCUGCAGCUGCUACACAGCUACGCAGAGCGAGGUCACUUCCUCACCUGGCGGUCUCACGGCAGCACGCUGCGUCCGAUUUCAAAUCGCCUCACUGAAGAAAAAAAAGCACUCUGCAGGAAGGGGCUGAGAGGAGCCCUAGUGGACAGAUAACAGGCUGCAGGAGCCCGGAGUCCCGUCAGGUCUCGCACACCCUGACGAGCAACGCUCCGGCUGGGCGUCGAGGGUUCUGUUUUUCAGAAGGGCGAGGUGGGGUAGCUGUUUAACACCUGCACACGAAAACAGCAGCUGUGAGCCGUGGUGAACAGGUCGAUUUCACCCCCCUGGUCACUAGAUGUCACCCUGUGCUCAAGAUUCAACGGUCUUGCACUUCCAUUCCUGAUCCACAGGGGGGGAGUAUCGAUACGCCUUCCGUACGUGGAUGAACAUUCGUGUCCCCGGCGCUGGUAAUGAGCGUCCCCCGCAUUUUUAUUUGAGGCCCAGGGUGAUGUAAAUUUAUCUUCCUGAUAGUUCCUAAGGAUCGGGCUUCUGCAUCCGCACACACCUAUGAAAGCUUUGUGAUAAGAGGAAACUGCACGCCCGCCCAGUUCCAAAAGCACCGUGUUCGCUGCCUCUCUGGGCCAUGUGAACACACGCUUGGGGAAGUCGCUGCAGCUCUGUAUCUACAUGCCUUUAUUCCACACCAUCCGUGCCCAGCAGCUUGCUGCCGUGUUUUCUGCAGAAGCAGCACGAAGUCAUGCACAGUCCGAUUGUACACUACCGUUCAAGGAUCGGGAAUCCACACAGGCUGCGGCGUGGCUCUGUCAGUACCUACAGGCGAAGCAGCUGAAUUCCGUCCUUGCAAGCAGCUCCUACAGCUGUUUUUGAACCAAAGGCGGCGAAUACGGGUUUCAUUAACCUCGCGCCGGUCCGCUAUCCCAAAAUAUUAGUCAAUAUUAAAAAAGAAAAAAUAGUCCCGCUAUCUGAAAAAUGUGAUGAUUGCUUGACACAGAAAUGGGUCUGGGAUGUAGAAAUCGGAUUAGAAUCAAGGCACCAGGUAGGAAAAAUAGGGGAGCCGGCCCUUGGGGGUCUCCCUUUCAAGCCCGUGUGGACAGGGCCCAGUGUGGAAAAGGACUCCCACAUCCUGACGGGGACUGACUGAGCUCCGGGGGGCACACUAUCCUCCUGCUCCUGUCCCACCUGAGCUCUCACCUACAUAUUUUCUUGAAUUGUUUCACUACCCCACUGUAGAAGUUUUAAGAUGGCUUCAAGGUGUGCCGCAGGUAACUGUGCAGUACAGGCUGCAAACUGUGUUUCUUUCAGCUGUCAGUUAGUUGACCAGGUACAGGCAGACACGGAAAGGCCCAUACUGCAUGUAUGACAGCGUGCCUGGACGAUCAGGGACCUUGCGCCUACGGUUUUCCGACGGCGUGUCUUCCAGGCUCCUUCGCAGGACCGCCUGUGACUGUGUGCCUCGGAGCGUGGCUGGCUUCUCCGGGAGGAAGACGGCGCGCGGGUUUCUCACCGCCGGGGACACAAUGAGGGGCCGAGGCCCUUGGAUCGUCUCGCGCCGCGCACCUGUCAGCUGUCCAGACAAUGAGCAAUGAACCCAUGAUUGCACACAUCGGGGAAGAAUGAGGAAGUGGAGGUGGACUUCUCAGAAGUGACCACCCUCGAGCCACUUGACGAUGGAAACAGGAGGGGUGGAGGGACAGCACCGACGGCACCACGUGUCCGCAAGCACCCUUGAGGCUACGGGGGUCACGGGCCAGCCAAUCCCACCCUCCCCUUGGCGGCUUUCAGCCAACUGGGAGCCACCAGCUGCGGACUCCAGGCCAGCGCCGGCCGGUGAUGUCACCCCAGCUGGAACCCGUGAUCGGCAUUACAAUCGGAGCUUUAACCGAUGGAUGCGAGACUCAUUUCGAGGAAUCGAAGGCUCCGAGGUCGUUGUGUUUCUGGAGGCAGGGGGAAACCUGACAAGUCUCUGGUUCAGUGUUGAGCUGUAGAUGACAGCUCGACAGCUGAUCUCCCUGAAACAUCGCAGUGAAUCACUUUCCAAGCUCAGCAGCCCGGCUGGGAUGUAUGAGCCACACAUCACACUCCUCUCCGUCGCACGCCUGCAGCGAACAGACCCAACUACUGCCCCUGUACUUCAAGACGUCCUCAUGCUGACUUGCAGACAAUUUAAAAGGCCGGGACAGAAGUGCUACGACUUCUCCAGGGUAGUUGGCCAGUCUAAUUAAAGCAAAAGAAAUGAAGGGAGUGAAAUGACAACCAGAUGACACGUCUGACCUCUGA